This 475-nucleotide long non-coding RNA is filed under the name Vigna radiata. RNAcentral's name for it is "long non-coding RNA (VRAD_LNC001277)". The record is from RNAcentral. Lineage: Eukaryota; Viridiplantae; Streptophyta; Magnoliopsida; Fabales; Fabaceae.
UUUGUUAACUUGCAUACGCCUGUUUUUAGUUAGUACAUUUUAGUAAUGUGUAUCGGGUUUCAGAAGACAAAAAUACCCUUAUAUAUCAUGAAUUCUAAGUUUAAAGGUCAAGGGUAUUUUAAUAAUUUUCAUUCUCAAAAUUAAGAAUAUAAAAAAAGAAACCCCCAAACCCUUACCCACCUCUCUCAUUCCUCCCAACCCUUCCUCUUUCAUCUCUUUCAUUUAAACCUUUUCUCUGUCAUUCCUACACUAGCCCUAAUUGAAAAAAAUCAGAAACACUUGCCUUAUUUUAAUAAUUUUGAUUCUCAAAACUAAAAAAAGAAACCUCAAACCCUUACUCACUUCCUUCAUUCUUCUCAACCCUAUCUCUUUCAUCUCUCUCACUCAAACAUUUUCUCUGUCAUCUCUGCACUAGCUCCAACUAAAAAACACUCAUUAUUAAAUAAAAUAGUUAGAGAAAAAAAAAUACUUAAAU